This 294-nucleotide ribosomal RNA is filed under the name Triticum aestivum (bread wheat). Its description in RNAcentral is "partial small subunit ribosomal RNA". Lineage: Eukaryota; Viridiplantae; Streptophyta; Magnoliopsida; Poales; Poaceae. The record is from RNAcentral.
AUGGAAGGAGCGCCAUCGGGAUCGGGCACCAAAAAAACCGAUCUGGAGGCGAUGAUGGAGGAGUUGGGGCUGAAGGAAGAUGAUCUCCUGGACGUGGUCGUGGAAGAUGAGGAAAUCCCUGAGGAGGCGACCAGAUGGAUGGCGAUUGCCAGAGUUCACACGGAGAAAACCUACAACCAGUACUGUUUUUUUAGGAACAUGAGAUCUGCUUGGGACCUGGCAAAGGAAGUGAAGAUCGGGCCAUUAGAGGGAAACAUAUAUACCUUGCAGUUCGGCUGCUUGGGCGACUGGGAA